UAUAAUCAAAUUCUAUAAUCCAAACCAUGACAACUGCAUGCUAAUUUUAAAUUCUACGAUAUUUCAGUGUCAAAUUGGAUGAUUAGUGCCUUUUUUUUUUCUAGUCUUGAACACGUACAAUUAAGACUCUACUACUUCCUAUUCUAGGCAUAAACAUGCAUGCAAGAUAUAUGCAGAUAGAGCUAGAGUAGUUGAGUCACAAGGUCCGUACGACACAUAUGUAUUGUGUAUUUAUGGAGAAUAUGACCAGAUAUAUUUGCGAGGGAGGUAUGCAUUUUUACUUUAAAAUUUAUUUUCUAUUCAUGUUUUAUAUUGCUUCUAAUUUUAAAUUUUGUAUUUUUAGUGUUACGAAGGUAUGUUUGAAAUAUAUAAAUAGCGAUAAGAAUAUCAUCACUCUAAACACUCUAGAAGAGAAUUGUUUCAUUUGAUUCCAUUCGAGACAGUGGACUAGCCUACCUCGCCCCACAUGUUUCAAUAGAGUUGAUCAUAACUUCUUGAUAACUUUCUUAGGGAGGUAGCACAAGAAGACAAAUGCCUUUUAGUUAGUGAGAUGACAAUGAUACAUAACAGCGUGUGGUGUCUUAUACAUAUAUUUAUGCAAGGAUAUCUCAUUUGCUAAAGAGGAAGGGGAAAUUUGAUGGAUGGGUUUUUCAGAUCAGAUCUGAUGAGUGAAGGUGAAAAAAAUACACAAGAAUGGAGAAUGUUGAAUUGUGUAUUUGAAUUAUUUUUCACUUCUAAAUAAUUAAUUUUAAAAUCUGAUCUAAGAGUUGUUAGCAGUAAAAUGAAUAAUAUUCAGAAGCAAGAAGUAAAACAACAAAGAGUUUAUUCUGGUUCCUCCCACAAACAAAAUAGUCCAAUCCCCUUGUCCAACAAAAGAUUUUCACUAUAAUCAAACAAAUUACACUUUGCUCAAACAAACUAGCAAGAGACUUUAAUUGCUCAAGCACGCAUGCAAGAGGCUUCUUCUCAAGCACACAGGCAAGAGGCUUUAGGUCAAGCACACAGACAAGAGGCUUCCACUGCUCAAGCAAACUAGCAAGAGACUUCCACUACUCAAGCAAACCAGCAAAAGACUUUCUAUACUCUAAACAAAUAGUUUAGGAAAAUAGAUAACAACUAUACUUGAUGUAAAAUCAUAAGUAUAGAAGUGACACAACACACACAAAGAUUCUUAGACACUUAAGAUUUCUAAAAUAUACAAAGAUAAGAAAUCUCAAGAACUUGUGCGGUAAACAAUUAUAAAAAAUUGAGCAGAACACUGAGGGUAAUUCUUCUAAGAACAAGGAACUUCAUCAAAACCUCAGAGUCUGGCUGAAGAUCAUUCUGGGGACAAAUAAUCACCGUCCAACAUCCAACUCUUUAGAAUACAUAAAAAAUGAUCAGAAGUGUAUACUCUACUGCCUCAACAAAGGGCUCAAGCUGAAUCUGCCAGUGCUACUGUUCAAGUACUUUAGGGACUUUGUAAGAGACACCAGGAACAACAUGAAGCCCAGAACCUACAUCCCUCUGGGAAGACUGAUUUCCGACGUUCUGAUAGAGAGCGGCUUGGUGGAUCAUCUGAUCCAUCACAAUCUGAUGGAGGAUGUAAGUGUUGACAUUGAGAGGCUUCUGAAUGCACGUAAUCUGAAGAGCAUGGGGGUAAUUGAGCAGAUUCGGGUAAAGCCCUCGUUGGACACCUCCUGGGAAGCCCUGAAAGAUCAGAGGAAGAUACCAAAUGGCCUCUACCUCUUUUUGAAAAUUGAUCCUCCAGAGGUUGUUGCAUACUAUCUGCAGGAUCUGGCCAACCAAGGAAUGAACAUCUCAGAUUUCUCUGUGAAUUGACUGCCUGAGCAUCCACCGAAUUUCAUGAAGAGAAUGCGAGAACCUUAUGAGAAGUCAAAGAAGGCCAAGAAAUCAAAGCUGGGGGAAGCCUCUGUAUCAAGACCUCUUGUCCCUCUGAUCGAAUCUCCAAGUAAGUCUCUGCCUCAUAACUCUCCCUCUGUUAAUUUAAAGCAACUUGCUUCUUCCCUUCCUAAAACCUCACCUAUCUACACACACUCUGAACCUUCACCCUCCACUACUAAACCCUAUGAAACACCUACCUCUAACGAACCUUCACCCCCUCUUCCAAAAAUUUAACCUCACCACCACAACCUUACCCAUCUCUGAAGCUGAAUUGUUCAAUGAACCAAUAUCACCACCCUCUUCAACACCUUCAUCCCCAUCUUGCUACACCAUCUCCUCUGACUCAGAGCCCUAUGACCCCCAAUCUCCCACCUUGGCUCAGCUUCAGGCUCGUGCCCUUUCCACACACCACCAAUAUGAACUAGAAGCUAACAUUCCAUCACCAUCGGAGCAACCGACACCACCACCACCUGAACCUCCCAUCGAAACACCCUCUGAAAACCCUAUCAUCCAUAACUCUCAACCUCCCGAUAAAACCACCCACACACCACCAUCAUCUCUAUCUCCUACCCCUGAACCAAAACCUACCUUCCCCACCCUGGAAGAAGCAAUUACUUUAUUUACUGAGUCUUCAGUGGAGAAGAUCAGAUCAUUAUCUGAAAAUUUUGGUAUCAGUAACGAUCCCUCUGCAGUGAGGAUUCACUGGAACAUAGUGAUCAGAUGGAUGACCUCUGAGGCUUUCAAGCUGAAAGGCCUUUCUGAACAAGUCCGAAACGACUUCAUCAGAGAAGCUGGAGAGAGGCUGCAAGCACGUCUGGUCAGAGAGGAAGAAGAGAAGGCCAGAAGAGAAGCAGAAGAGAAGGCUCGUUUGGAAGAAAUGCAAAGGGCUAGAGAAACUGCAAAGAAAGAUGCUGCUGAAGCUGAAGAAAAAGCAAAAGAUGAUGCUGUAGAGGCAGCACGUAUAACUGCAGAAGAAGCUCCAAAGGCAAGAAAUGAUGCUCUGACUCAGGGGGAGCAAUCUCAUUCUAAUUUUUCUCCUCUUGUUCUGAAGACUAUGGAAGAGCUACAUAAGGAGCAACAGAUAGUGAGAGCAAGACUGGACCAACAGGACUCCGUCAACAACAACAUUCAGAACCUGCUGACUCAGCUGCUCCAAAGGAUGCCUCCGCCUCCGAACCCUUAGGCACUUAGGCUUUUCUUGUUGUUUCUCUUACUUAUCUGCUAUGUAUUUUGUUUUCUUAUCUCUAUUUUGAAUAGCUGCUUAUCUGUAAUUAUAUUUCUCAUAUAUGAAUCUGAUUUUGACUACUCUCUAAUGUGCUGUCUUUUUGAGUCUCACAAAAAGGGGGAGAAUAAAAACAACUCUAAUAAAAAUAUAUCUAACACCUCUUGCUGCACUGCGCAUAUUAAUAUCUUAUGAAAAUUCUAAGCUAUGCAAGAAACAUCUAAAGGUAAAAACUAGCUGCUACACAAGGAAGAUCUGGUAAGAAUAUCUGAAAACCUGGUAUGAUAUAUCUCAGGGGGAGUUAUCACUCAUCUGUUAGUAUCAUUGUUUCAUCACCACUCUGAGGUUUUUGGCAUCAUCGAAAAGGGGGAGAUUAUAAGAACAAGAUUCCGUGUCUACAAUUCAUAUCUAAGAUUUUGAUGAUAACAAAGGAUGAAACAAAUUGGUACCCUCACACAACUUAUAUAAGUGUUCAGGACUCUAAUCAAAAAGAGGUCAGAUAGACAUACAUCAGAUAUACACGCAAGACCAGAAUGACCACUUAGAAGUUAUUCAGGUAGAAGUUCUAACUCUGAACACAAAUGAAGCAUACAAAGCUCAACGAAGAAAGAGGUAUUAGACGUUCUGAAUCUGAAGAGCGCACUCUAGGGUCUGAGACUUUUACACUCUGAUGUAAUCACUAUCAGGAAGACAUCAAGAACCUCCGAAGUCAAUAAACUUUAAGCACAUAUAUGGAGAUUCACACGCCGAACAAAAACUUUGAUUCUGGACACUCUAAAUCAGAAACGAUCAAUAAGACUUAGCUAUGAAGUCUUCCGCUUAUGGCAAGAAUCUAUUUUUGGAAGAAAGUUAACACACCCCAAACUGCUAUGGGAAUAACAAAGAGAUUAAUUACAUUAAAAUGUCCAUCAUUGCCAAGACCUUUGUCUUCCAACGGUCUCUUCAUCAAAUCCCUAUAUAUAUAGGAUGGAUCAUCUUCAUAAGAAUUAACGAAGCACACGAGAAUACUGAACCUAAUCAAAAAUCUCUUAUUCAUUCUCUUUUCACACGAGUUGUUGCUCUAAGUGUGGACUAUUUUUUUCUGUUCUUAUAUUGUGUAAUUUCUACUUACCUAAAAGCACUAAGCACAUAACUAUAUUUCUCAUUAACUGCUGAAUAUUCCUCAAGUGACUUGUGAAGUCUGUAAACUUGAGAGGGCUAAGAGAUCUUUAUCCUCUUAGACACUCAGGGUUGUAAUCUUUCAAGAUUAGUGGAUUAAGUCCUUGUUGAAGGAGAAAUCACCUUGGCCGGGUGGACUGGAGUAACUUUGAAUUUCAAGGGAACCCGGAUAAACUUCUGUGUCAAUAGUAUUAUUUUUCGCAUGUGUUUUAUUUGCAAAAGUUUUUAUUAUCUGUGAAAACAAUUCAAACCCCCAUUUCUUGUUUUUCUCUACCUUCAUACUCUAAGUGAGGCUUGAAAUAUGUUAGAAUAAAGUUUAUAUUCUCUCAUGAAGGUUUCAUCCACAAACCAUGGCUCUAUGUUAAUUUUCUUUAAGACCGCCGUCUUCUUAUAUUCUUCAUGUUUGUUCAUCAUUGUAGCUAUGAUGGCAUCUUUGUUUUUGUGGUGGUAUUCUGGGUCUUUGACUAGACGAGGUCAUGGUGAUACUUAUGACAAGAGGAAGAACUUACAAAAUAAAAUAUACAAGAAAGUUUGAGAUGAAAGAAAAGUGAAGAUAUGAAUACCUAUUUAUAAUGUUCCAUAUAAGGAUUUGAGUGUGUAUUCCUGGAAAGCAUUCAAUGUAGAUUGUACUGAUCAAAAAUCAAUUCAAGAUCUUUCCUAAUUAUUUCAACCUUAAAAUAAAGUACACCUCCUUUAUCAAGGAUUCAUGAUAAAUAUUUACCAAAGAGGGGAACAAACUAAAUAGUAUAGUGUAUUGUCAUGUACACAUCGUUGGAUGUGAAAGUUGGUUAAACCAUAAGACAAAUAUGUCCAUUACAGACAUAUCCAUUCAUCUGAUCACUAAGGAUCAUAAACUCUGAGAUAUUCUCAAAUGAUUUGAUUUGAUCAUAAUGGUUUACAUUUUCCAUCAUCAUUCAUCCUUGGAUCAAAUCCUUCAUAAAUAUUGUACACUUUAUAAGUAUAUCAUGCUUUUCAUAACUUCAUUAAUAAUUGUUAAAACUCCAAGCUGCAAAGCAUACAUGCAAAACACUAUUUUUUCACCUUUGGUGCCCAUAUCUUUUUGGGCCCAAGUGCAUUAGUAAUAAAAGAUAUAAGGUGGUUACCUUUAUAUCCUUUAAAUUUAUUAAAACAAAAAGGUUCUAAGUGUCCUAUUCUCUUAGAGUGUGUGCAUUUAUAAAUUGGACACUUAUUGGCCUUUUGAUCUUCCCCUUUCUUGGGUUUUCUAUCCCUUUUAAAUCCUACUCCAUUUAUAUAUAUGGAGGAUCUUUGACUAGAUAAAACUAGGUCAAGCUUAUUUUUUCCUUGGGUAAAUUUUCCUAGGGUUUCACGAAGAUCAAGUACUUCUUUUAUGGCGGAGUCACACCACUUGCAUUAUCCUUUCGAAUUUCUAAGCUUAGUUAUCUUUAUUUUGAAAGAAUUGUUUAUUUCCUUAAGGUAUCUUACGAAUUCCUUAAGACCUAGGGUACACUCUCUUAGUUUAGCAUUUUCUUUCUCUAAUUGAUCAGACAUUCUAAAUAGUUGAGCUUAAGAUGAUUUGAUGCCUGCAACAAUAUCUCCCUCGUAGAAUGCCUUCAAGCAAAUUUCAUCUUCUUUGUUGGAAGAGGAUUCUUUCAUACUUCUCCCCGGGGUUGAUGUCUCUCCUCUUCUUCUUCUUUGUUCGAGUAUUGAAGAAACUUCUUCAUUUUCUUUGUCUUUCCUUGAACAAUGUGGUCCUUCAUUGGAUGUUGAAUCUUUCGAGCAUCAUUUAACUACCAAGUAUGUUCUUUCAAAGGACUACACAAGAGUUGUAUGAUAGGAGUAUGAUGAGGGUAAUGAUUCUUUAGUUUGAAUUUCUCCCUCUUUAAGUAGUUGAACUAGAAAGUUUAACUUUUCUAUAAUUUGCUUCUUUCUUGAUUUUUCCUAAAAUUCAUGAAGCAUCUCAUCUUUUGAUUUAAGAAUUGAAUUAAAUUUCCAAUUCUUGGUUCUUAGAUAUUUGUUAGUAAUACAGUAGUACCCAACAAAAUUUUCAAUAUUUUUGAAUUUAUAAAAAUAUCCAUAUAUCCUUUCAAGAGUCUCCCACAUUUCCUUGGAAUUUUUACAACGAUGAACAUCAUAAAGUUUACUAUCAUCUAAAGACAUUAUUAUAAAGUUCUUUGUUUUAAGAUCUAUGUGUAUCUUUAUCUUUUCUCCUCCGGUCUAAACGGAAUAUGGUUUAUUUACUACUUCAUCAUUUACUUGACGAGUAGGAUAAAUUGGACCAUUGACUAUUGUUUCUCACAAUUCAUGAUUUAUGCUUUGAAUAAAUAUUCUAAAUCUAGCUCACCAAAUAUUAAAGUUACUAUUUUUGAAAAGUGGUGGUAUGUUUUUACCAGAUAUCUUUUCGAAAGUUAUCUUCCUCCUGAGACAAUAUUCCUUAAGUAUGAGUUAGGCUAUGAUGUCACUUGUUGGACUUGAGAAUUCACACAUAAAAGAUGGUGAAUUGUAUGGUUAUGCAAAAUGUAAUUUUGAAAAACUUUGCAGAGUAAAAUCAGAGUUUAAAAACAUAUCUAAAUACUUAGCAACAUAAAUAAAAAACACAAUAUAAAUUGCAGAAAUUUAAACAGUUAAGGGAAAGAGAUGAACACCAGAAUGUAUAGAGAUUCGGGAAAACAAGAAAAUGACCUAGACCUCUCCCCAAAAUUUGAUCUUGAGAGAUUCAAAUAAACGUUGGUAGGUUUUAGUAGGAAAGACUCACGAACCCCCUUAAACAAGGAAAUGAUGGUUGACCUCCAACCAAUUAAUACAAGACUUCGGUAUUUAGAAACUUGAGUCUUCUCUUCCAAAUGGAAGAUUGAAGUGGUUGGUCUUCUCUCCACAAACAAGGAUCUUAGAGCGGUUAGUAUUCAAGUUCCUUAAACCUUACAAACUUUUACACGGGUGAGCUUAUGAACCUUUAAACGUUGGUUUUACAUGGGAUAAACCAAUAACCUGUGAGAUUUUAAUACCAGACUAAUAUAAAACCUAUGAAGCUUUUAAUACCAGGCUGAGCUCCAUCCUAUCUUGUUUUUAUCACGGGAUGACCAAGAACCUAAGAGUUUUUAACAUGGACUAAUCCCUAACUUAAAUUAGGGUUUGAUCACACAAUCACCAAACCAAAGUUUUUAACGAGUUUAGCUUAUAACCCAAACAAAUCCCUAAAUGGAUAAUAUUCAACCAAGGUAUAUACAAAAUAUUUCCUUGGUAAAUUUAUAAUUCUAUCCAUCCACAUUUACAAAAUAUUCUCACUCACAAAAGGACUUUUCUUACAAAUGCACCAUGGCCAAAAUAUUGGUGAGAGAAAGUAAGUAUAUAUUUGAGAGAGAGAGAGAGAGAGAGAGAGAGAGAGAGAGAGAGAGAGAGAGAGAGAGAUAGAGUUGUAUCAAAACACAAUUCUGGAUGAAAUGAAACAGGGAAGAGACCUCUAUUUAUAAGCUAGAGGUUGACUCAAAAAGGAAUUUCAAAUAAUUUUUUUUAUGACAAUCUAAUUGAUUGACACAUGUUUACAAUCGAUUAGAAGUUUGAAAUAAUAUCGAUUGUAAGUUCAAAAAAGGAAGGAAAAUAUAUCUAGCCAUUAAACAUCAUUAAGGCACUGCCCUAAUCGCUUAUGACUCAAUUUUGAUUUGAGCUAAUCGAUUAGACAAAAGUUUCAAUCGAUUAGAUAAGUAAAAAAAUUGCCUAUAACAAUUUUUAAAGUUCCUAUUUUAUAUUUCAUAACUUCAAGAUAUUUUUGAAAAUAUUUUAUUUGCUAAAAACAGUUUGAAAAUAUAUUUUAGUGAGUGUGAUUUAGCCAUGCCCUUUUACGAUAAAACCCAUCUACAUUAUAGUUGUUUCACUCACUACUUAAAUAAGAGAUUCCUAAGCACUUCAAGACAUUGCCAUAUGCUUUCUCUUUUGAAAACACUCGCUUGAUUAGCUUUGAUAUGAAGCUUUAGUUACAUUCCAUUUGGUCGCCAUCAUCAAAUAGUCAAGUUCGUUAUAUCGUAAUGAUUAAGUUUUCAUCUUUAUCUGCUUAAUCGUUCAUGCUUGACUUAUCAUAAGAUAUUAGUUGUCAUCAUUAAAAAUUGAUGUCCUUGUUAAAUCAUAUCACCUUCAAAACAAGGUUCCAACUAUAAUACUCAUUGGAUUAUUAAGAUACCUUUGUCACACAAGGCCUGACCUAACAUACAAUGUAGGCAUGGUGAGUAGGUUCAUGCAAAAGCCAAAGGUGUCUCAUAUUGUAGCCACUAAGAGAAUACUAAGGCAUCUCAAAGGAAUAUUAGAUUAUGGCUAUUUGUUUCCUGAAACAGAUGAAGGAAAGAAAUACAAGCUAGUGGAGUACAAUGACUCAAGUUGGUGUGGUAAUAUUGAGGAUAGAAAAUCCACAGCUGGUUAUAUGUUUAUGAUAGGAGAUGCACCGGUUUCUUGAAGCUCAAGAAAAGAACCAGUUGUAGCUCCGUCAUCAUGUGAGGGUGAGUACAUAGUUGCCUCUCUUUGUGCAUGUCAAGCAACAUGGAUGGUGAAUCUUAUAGAAGAUAAUGUAGGCGAAAAUCAUGGAGCAAUGAUCAUGAAGAUUAAUAACAUGUAUGUUGUCAAUUUGGCCAAUAAUCUGAUAGCACAUGGAAGAAGAAAACACAUUGGUAUGAGUUUUCAUUAUCUUAGAGAACAUGUAUCGAAAGGUCAAUUGAACUUGGAACAUUGCAUAAUUGAGAAUCAAAUUGUAGACAUCAUGAUAAAGGUUGUGCAUGUGGAAUUGUUCAAGAGAUUGAGAACUAUGAUAAAUGUAGGGCUUAGAUAGAACGAAUUUGAUGGUGUGUUAAAUAUGAAAUUCUUUAUGUUAAGCAUGUUUGUAAAGUGCAUAAUUCGACAGAGUAGAAGUCAAAUGUAUUCGACAGAGUAGUAGUUGAAUAUAGUUUGUAAUAGUUGAGUCUGCAUAUAUUCAAUUGAAGGUCGAAUACAACUUAUAGUAUAUGAAGGUGCAUGUAUUCGAUAAAGAUUCGAAUACGGUUAGUCGUGGUCUAAGCAUAUUGUAUUCGACAGAGUUAAAUAACAACUUGUUGAAGUUAGUCAGUCAGUUUGAGAUUGCGAGCCGUGCAAGCAAUCUCAUUAUAAAUAGGGAGAUACCCUGCAUUUGUAAAUAGUAUUGGAACAAGUUUUGUUCUACAUAUACAAUCCUUAUGUUUUGAUGAUAAAAAAGUAUAAAGAACAAUUUUAUACACUAAUAGGUAUAUUAAGUGUGCAGAAUCUUAAAGUUAAAGGAAGCAGAUUUUGAACUCUGGAUAAAGCAUAAUCUGGACAAAGCAAACUCUGAAUAAAGUAAAGUUUGAACUCUGACAAGAUACUCUGGACUCUGAACAAAAAAGACUCUUGACUCUGGACUUUAAUAAAUUUUAAAACAAGGUUGAAUUAUGAAGAAGUGUUUAAUUGAUAGUCAACCAUCAGAAUAACCAAGUCAAUGCUUCUGAAUAAAUAGUCCAGAUUUACUCUGAUAAUCCAAACCUCAUUUUCACUAGACUCUUCAAGGCUUUGAACUCUGAUAAAGCUUCAAAUACGAACCCAGUGAUUUAGAGUAUAAUGUUGAAAGAAUAUUCUUGGAAAUAGUAUAUUCAAGCGGAAAAAUAAAAUGUUUCCUUAAAAAGACAAAUAUGUUGGAAUUUAUAAAGAAUGUACUACGAACAGAUCUCCACAAUUCACGGCUCAACCUCGUACCAUUAUUACAACUCUAAAAUUGAAGAAUUUUCCAAUUUAUCCUCCAACAAUAUUAUUCAUCCUAUAUUUUAAGAAGACAAAGAAUUUUGAAGAAUAGAUGAAGAACAAGAAUAACAAUAAAGUGAGUAGAAAAAGAACAACAAACAAGAGAAAAAACGACUAUAACACUCAUUACACUUAGAACUUUUCUCGUAUGUUUUCUUAAGUGUAGACUCUGAAAUUCUUCUUGUGUUUCUUCUUGUUUAGAAAUAUUCUUGUAAACACACACUCUUUGUAUUUUAACUUUGGUUAAAUUUCUUUAGGGACUAAGUUUAGUAUGUAGCCUUGAGAAGUCAUUGACAAUUGAUCCUUGAGUUUGUAAGCUGUUUGAUUAGUGGAUUAACUCAUUGUGAGAAGGCGAAAUCACUCUGACGAGUGGACUGUAUUAUCUUAGUUAACUGUGAACCAGCAUAAAAAUCAUGUAUAUUUCUAUCAUUGUUGUUCUUGUCAUUAGUUUGUAAAAAAAUUGUCAUAUCUGAAACUUAAUUUAAACUCCCCUUUCUUGUGUUUCUUAAACCUUAAAGUAGUACAAUAUUAUUCAAUUCAAUAUACAUUCUUCUUCUUUUCUCCCAAAACCUAAAUUGUUCUCUCUCUUCUUUUUCUCUCUAAAAUUAUCUUCUCUCUUCAAAUCUUUGUGCGAGGGAAUCAUCUUUCAACCAAUAUAUGGUUGAAUCACUCGAAUGAAAAAUGAAAAAUGAAAAUUUUAAAUCAUAAAAAAAGUUAUUGAAUCUUGUUUUAUCAAGAUCAUUUCCAACACUAUCAAAAUCAAUUCCGUUCAAAUCAAUUCUAUAAGAAUAUUAUCAUUCAUUUAUUAAAAUAAUUAUUUUAAAUGAUAUGGUUGAUUUUUUACUCAAAAACAAAAAGGUAUGAGAUGUUAACUCAUUCCUUCAUAAUUUAAAGUUGGAUACAUUUUCAAUCCCCUUUAAAUAUUAAUCUUAUAUAUGACUAACCGAACAACAUAGGAAAAACACACUAAUGUUUAAUCUCAUUUAGUUUAGCUAAUUAAGAGGUCACAAAUUCAAACAUGCAUUUUUAUAUUUGAUGUUGGUUUUUAUAUUUGAUGUUCUUACACAGGUAUAACCUAAACUAAUUUAACGAGAUCAUUAGUGUUUAUUUGUUAAGUACCAAAAUUAUGACUUACAAGAAGAUAAUAUGCUUAAAACAUCAUAGAAUAAUUUUUCAACUUAUUCAUUUCACUGUCACACAGGUACACAUACCCCAGAUACACUUUGAAACUUGAUCAGGGUUACAUACAUAUGUACCACAUUCAUCGUUGUUAGCGCAGAACAUAGGAUCAUCUGUCAUGUCAAAUAAGGAUAAAGGAAUAUGAUUAAAAAGAGAUGGAAUAUUAUGAAUAUGAUACUGAAGAAUAUCAUUAAAAAGAGAGGAUUAUUAUGAAUAUAAGAAGAAUAUUAUUAAAAAGAGAUGGAUUAUUAUGAAUAUAAUAAAGAAGAAAAUUUGAAAUGGAUGUGAAAGAAAAACUUACCGUCGCUAGUUACAAAAACCAUUAGAGAAAGAAAGUUGAUAAAAGUAAUAACGAAUUUGUAAAUCUCAACCAUAUUUUUUCUAAUUAGCAUUCAAUAAUUUGAAAAUGGUUGAUCACUUUAUGUAAAAAAAACCUAUGCAUUGUUAACUUAGAAUGAUUUAGGUAGUUAGUUAGUAUAUGCAAUGUUGCAAAGUCACUAUUAAAGUAAGAAUUUUUGUUGAGUGUCGUAUUUUUUUAAAUAAAAAUACACAUUUAAUUAAAAUAUGUAAAUGGUAGUAACUUUAUAAUUAAAAGUAUUUUUUUUAAUCAUACAUUACUUAAAUUAGACAAUUUUUUAUGAGACAAAAUAUAUUUUUAAGAUGUUGCAAAUGAUUGUUGGGCAGUUGGAAUGCCAAUAUAACUAAGAUGUUAAUUAUUUCAUAAUGAUGCGUUUGUACUUCCAAGUGAUUUUAAAGAAGUGUCUCUUAAUUACAUCAAUGCAUCUUAUACAUAAUAUUUUGGGGACAUUUUUAUACAUCAUUUUAGCUCACUUAAUUUUAAUAAAAAUCUCACAUGCAACUUUUUAUGAGCACAAAAGGUUAUUGUUUCUUUUUAUAUUAAUGUUUUAGAAAUUAAUUCUUUUAUUUUAAAUUCAAACCGUUAUUGUUUCCUUCUCACUUUUUCAUAAGAAAUUGAUGAAAAAUUUUAUUUUUUCGUUUAUAUUUUUAUUUAUAAAGUUGCACAAAAGGUUUAUAUACGAUGAUUUGUCAUAUUUUACAAGAAACAUGUCUUUUAAUAAAUAAAAUUCGUUAAUUUUAAGUGUAAAAGUAUAAGUGGAUGAUCAAUUUCGUAAAUUAGAUAAAAUAUGAGACUAAAAUUGAAAUUAAACCUAUAUAUUCACUUUGAGUUUAUUUCUUAUUUAACACAAAUUAUUUCAAGAAUUUUAACUCUUAACAUAGGGACUGUGACAUUUAUAACUUUAUACUAGUCUAAGUUUAUAUAACUUUUGUAGAGACAAUAUAGGCUUUCCUCUUGGUUUUUUUAAGAAGUGUUGAAAAUUUGUGAAAGAUGAUGUUGUUAAGUUUGUUCAAGAAUUUCACGAGCAUGGUAAGCUUCCUAAAGCUAUCAUUGCGUCUUUUAUUGCUCUCAUUCCUAAAGUAGAUAAUCCAUAAAGUAUUGAGGAAUUUAAGCCGAUUUGUUUGGUGGGCUGUCUAUAUUGUCUUAUCUCUAAAUUGUUAGCGGCCAGGUUAAAAGUUGUGAUUGACAGUUCCUUCUUCUCAAAUGACUUUUAUAGAAGGUAGACAAAUGUUAGAUGGUGCGUUGGUUCUCAAUGAGGUGUUAGACUUUUCCAAAAGGAAGUGUUUAGUGGUGAAAGUUGACAUUGAGAAGGCUUAUGAUUGUGUGUCGUGGGACUUUCUUAGAUAUGUGCUUAAUAGGAUGAGCUUUUGUAAAAAAUGGUUGUCUUGGAUGGAAGCUACGGUCUUUUUUAGCUCUUUGUCAAUUUUGGUGAACGGUAGUCCUACAAAUGAUUUUAUGGCUUAUAGAGGACUCAGAUAAGGGGAUCCCUAUCUCAUUUCCUUUUUCUUUUGGUAGUUAAGGGCUUGGCUGGCUUCAUGAGAAAUGCUACCGAUUAUGAAAUUUUCAAGGGUUUUCAUUUUUAUGAGCAUAUUCAUUUUUAGUUGUUGCAAUUUGCUGAUGAUAUGAUUAUCAUUUGUAAUGGUUCAUGGUCUAAUUUGUGGUGUAUUAAGUCGAUGCAAAGAGGUUUUGAGUUUGCUUAAGGUUUGCGUAUCAAUUUGAACAAAAGUAAGUUAUAUGGAGUUCAUUUGGGGUAAUUUGUUGCAAGCGGCAUCGACAUUUUUGGCUUGUGAGAUAGGAACGUUACCUUUCUUGUUUCUUGGUAUUCUGUUGGGAGCUAACCAUAUGCAUAAGGAAACUUGGUAUUUAGUUCUUUCAAAGUUGAGAAAAAGCAUAGUUUCUUGGCUUGACAAACAUCUAUCUUUUUGUGGUAAGGUUACUCUCUUAAAUUUAAUGCCUAACAAUAUUCCUAUUUAUAUGCUAUAUUUUUUCAAAGCUCCGAAAGGCAUUAUAGAGGAAAUUAUUUAGGUUCAAAAGGACUUUUUGUGGGGUAAUGGUGAUGAUAUGGGGAAUGUGUCUUGGGUUAGUCGGGAGAGGAUUUGUCUUUCUAAGAAGGAGGGUGGAUUAGGAGUCAAGAGUAUUGAGAAUUUCAACUUUUCUUUGAUUAGUAAUGGGUGGAGACUUUUAUCAGAGAAGAAGCAUUGUGGUCCAAUCUUAUUCAUUUUAUGUAUGGUGAUGGCAUGUCGAAUUUAUUUGGGAAGGAUUCUCUUCGGGGUUUGAAGAAUUCUUUGCUUUGGUGAAGGGACGUGAGGGAGGUUUGUAAUCUUAAAGUUGGUGGUCAAAUUUGGCUUUCCGAUAGCAAUUCUUGCAAGUUUGGGAGUGGUGUGACCAUUAAUUUUUGGGAUGAAUGUUGGUUGGGUGCGAUCUGUUGAAAGAGAUUUUCCCGAUUGCAUAUGACACUUGUUCAAACUUAACAUUUAAGGUGGCGAAUAGGGUUUUUGGUUGGAUUCUUGUUGGCAUUGGUAUUUGGGGGUUGAUGAGGUUGCUCUUUAUGAGGUUAGUGACUAAUGGUCGGUUUUAGUUUCAAUUUUGAGGGAUGUAAAGCCAAAUUUUGAUUAGAUUGAUAAAGUUGUGUGGUGGAGAUAUGUCAAGGGUUUUUUGGUGAAAAUAGCUAUAGGAGGUUGUAUGAUUUAAAGUCCCAAAACAUGGUGUGGAAUGAGGAGAGUUUAGUAGAGUUUGGUUGGGUUUGGAAAGCAAAUGUUCUGAGCAAAGUGAAGUUGUUUUGUUGGAGGCUUAUUUUGAAUAACUUACCUAUUAGAAGUGGGCUUUGUAAUAGAGAAGUGUCGCAUAUUUUGAGUGGAAAAUUGUGUUUGAUGUGCGAUAGGGUGGAAGAAUCGGUUGAGCAUCUUUUUUUUUUUCUGUGUACCAGAAUUGGUAUCGUGUGGACGGUCGUCCUAAGGUGGUUAGGCGGUGAUGCAGUUGACGGGGCUGUGGUGGAUGGUGUGCCGGUGGCUGAUCCAGCAAUUCAGUUGUUGGUCCAUCUCAAAGAAAGGUUAUGUUGUUUUAUUAAUCCUUAUCUUUUUUAUUUCUUUUGGUUGUUAGUUUGUUGGCGUGUGGGGUUGAGUAGGAACAAAGUGAUUUUUAAAUGAUAAAGUUUGGAAAUAUGGAGAAAAUUCAUCUUUGAUUAAAUUGUUAGGUUAGGAUUGGAUUUCCAUUUUGUCGAAAGGAAGACUUGAUUUAGUUAGGGAUGUUUGGAACUAUAAUCCCAGGGAAUAUAUUAGAGUGUAAUUUUCUAUUGUUCGAGUUGUUUUUAUCCCUCUUUUUAUUGUUGGUUUUUCCUUGUAUUGGGUUUAGCACCCCUGUACUCUGUUAAUACAAUUUGAUUAUAAUAUGAUUNNNNNNNNNNNNNNNNNNNNAGAGUAUAUCUUCUAGAAUAACAAUUAGGAAGUGCAAAUGUUCAUCUAAAUGGAAACAGACUCGUCUCUACUGCAACUAUUUGUCAUUACAGUCUAAUGUCAAGUCUAGCUACAAUGGGAAAUACUUCAUUGUAUAUAUUCCAUUUUUUUUCAAGAAUCCUUAGCCACCAAUUCUCUUUGUAUUGAGCACUGCGCCAUCAGGAUUUCACUCUAGUUCUAACAACCCAUUUCACAUCAAUCGACCUACUCAUUCCCUCAUGCUUCCUCCACGCUUUUUUUAUUCGUUGUUUAUAAUGCAUAUUGAAUGGAUCUAGAUCAGCUAAUAGAGAAAAAUAUAUUUAGGGGCUCGUCCUUACUGACUACAUCAAUAUCGCAAGCAACACUUCACAGUGUAAAGUCUUUAGGAACAUGUCUACUUCUUUGUGGCUAUCAUGGAGCAUUGGGCAUCUACUAGUGUAGCCUCAUCAAAUUUAAUGUCUGUCAAACAUUUACGUCACCGCGCUAAUUCUCAUUUUGUAACAUAGCAAGCAAAAGUGUGAGACUUCCUUCUUUUUAUCCUAGCACUCAUUCCAGCUCGAUCAUCAAAAAACUUACAUCCCUAGGAGGACUAUUUUCAAUAGAAUUUUACACUUUAGGAACCUAUUAAAUGAUAUCCGCUAGAAAUCAUAUCACACUCCUUCUAUGUCUCGAUCCUCUGAUCAUGUAUUGUGCUUGAAGCAAACGAUUGCAUAACACUUUUAAUUUCACAAAUGCUUCUUUCACACAACUCCUACCAACCUCACUCAAAAUUCGAGGCAUCUAUCAAAAGCUAGUGGUGUUUGAGUCGUUACCAGACACAUAUGGGGCCAGUGCUUGUAUUACCAUGUCUCUUUCCAAUCAAGGAUGACCAUAGUUCUCUUCUACAAGAACAUGUGUUGGGUGUAUAGGUGAGGGCCCACUUCAUGUUUAGCCUCCACUAGCAAAUUGCCCACACUGUAUCGAGUAUAUCUCACCUUUAUCAAUCCUUAAACCUUAAUUUAUUUUGCAACUCUCCUUAUCAACUAGUUUUGAACUAGUAGAAAACUUCAAAAGCUCACUUAGAAAGUUAAUAAGUAUAGAAACCAAAAUAUACUUGAUUCAUCAACAAAAGUUAAAAGUAGUGUACCUCUCAAGAUAUACUUAAAAAAGCGGCCACAGAUAAUCAGAACGCACAAACUUUAGAGCGAUCUUGAUCUGCUAGCAUUAAGCAAAAGAUUCUGACUUACUUUAGCAUACUACAGUCAUACUUCUGAAACACCAGUACCAUCUGGCACAUUCUUAGACUGCUAUCUUAAAACUCACUAAGCUCUCGAAAUCAAAUGUUUCAUACCUUGUGCCAUAACCAGUUAGGUUCAUCAAUGGAUCAUGCAUACUUCUUCACAAUUUGGGAUGAUAACUGAAGUUAGUCUUUACAUUGGGCUAGGAAUCAACUUCUUCUUUGUAUCAACAGUGGAGCCAAUCACUAUCAUGUGAUAGAAAGAAACCUUCUCCCACCAAUUUCACAUGUCUCAGGUGGGUUACAUUUGACUUGAACUUCCACACAUAAGGGGAGCGGAAUUAUUGGUUAGAAAAAAGUCAUUCAAAAAUUUUGGAACAAAACAAGUUUAAAGCAUUUUGAAACUUAGCAAUAGAAACUAAUAAAAAGCAGGAAAAUAAAUGCACAAGAAAUAAAGAGUAAGGGAAGAAAGAAGACACCAAAAAUUAAGGUUCAUAAAAAAGACUAUAGUCCUAUUCCCAAAUGAUCUGAAAUCCAUAAACAUUGAAGCUUAGUAGGAAAGACCAGUGAAACCCUCAUAUGAUUAAGGAAAUUAGGGUGACCUUGAACCCAAAAAUAAUACAGACGAUAAAAUUGGUGUUUACUUCUUUUCUUCAAAAAACUGAGUGAAGGCAAUCUUCCUCCCAAUGGUGGAUAAAGUGGUUGUCGGGAGUUAUUCACAACACAAGACCUUGGAACAAUUAUCUCAAGUUCCUAAAAAUUAAGCUCAAAACCCGGUUUACAGGAAUAACAAAUAACUGUAAACUUUAAAACCGAGGCAGAGCUCAACCCUCUUGAUUUUAAAAAUCGGGCUGACCAAAACCUAGAAUUUAACAAGACAGCUGAUCUCAACACGUAGAAACUAGGAGUGAACACAACAACCCAACCAAAGGAUUUAGGUUACUUCGGAACCCAAAUAAAUCCUGAAAUGGACAUAUUCAACCAAGCAAUUACAAACGAUUCCCUGGUGAAAUUUUUACAAUCUACCAUUCUAGAAUACAAGAAAGUAUCCUCACUCCAAAAAAGAACUUUUCUACAAAAGCACUAGGCAAAGCAAGCGACGAGAAAGUUAAUAAAUGUUUAGAGAGAGAGUGAGUGAGAGACGAAAUGUAAAAACAAUGAUCUGAGGUUCGAAAGGAAUGGAUCCUCUAUUAAGGGCCUACUCAAGAAGAAUUGUCCAUAUUAAUGUCUUUUAAGAAAUAUAAAUCGAAUAGAAGCCUUAUCUAAUCGAUAAUGGUCAAUCAAUUAGUGUAAGUUCUAAAAAUGAAGAUUAAGAAUCAACCAUUUCACAAACCAAGGGCGCCUUCAAAUAGCUGACCUAAUUGCAUUCUAAUCGAUGGACAAAUAGUUCUAACCGAUAGAAAGACCAAAAUCACCGUCUAUAGAUGUUGAACUGCUCUUAUUUCAUCAACACAACACCUAGAGUUGUUCAAAAAUAUUGUUCGUAAAGCAUUUUGUAAGAUAGUGUUGGCUUUAACCGUAUGCUUUAGAAUAAAGUCCUUUAACUUACAAUCAUUCACCAUUUAUCAAAUUUGAGAUCACCACAUUGCUUCAAGAUUUAUCAAGUAUUACUCUUAAGUGACACAUGCUGAUGGAUUGAGAGAGAGCUUAGUUAUAAUAUUUGUUUCCAUUACGGAUAGUAGCAAUUAUCACCCAAAUGUAAAUUUGAAUAUAUGUUUAAAUCAUGUUACUUACUCAAGUACAUCAUCAAAAAACGGAGUCCUGUAAAAGCAUAUCACAGCAAAACAAGUUCCCAAUAUUCAUUCCAGGAACAUGAGUGCCUCCAAUCAAGGAUUUUUCCAUUUCCUUUUCUUUUGAUCACAAUAUCAUAAAAUACCUUAUACUCAAGGUAAUUACCAUUACAAGCUUACACAGUCAUCUCUUUAAGGUCAAAAUAUCAUCCAUUUUCAUUCAUGUCGUAUGUUUGAACCCCUGAAUCUAAAUACCUAACACUUCAACAUUGGAUCCCCUUCACAUAUGGUAGCAUAAAAAAUACCUGUCAAAAACCAUAACAUCAUCCACUAACUAUAGCUAUCACUUCCUGUGAAUUUCUUUCCUCUCUUUCUGACCAAUAUUCAUUUGCAAAAUGACCAACGAUUUUGCACAGUUUAGAAUGACCUUGCUCUUAUCAAAAUCAUGUCGUUUUGGGUAUGAUCCUUGUCGCCCCCCUCUCAGAGGAUCAACCUUUCGCAUCUUUAUGUUUGGCAGUAGGGACCAAUUUUGAAAUUGGACUCUUGCCUGCUCAUUUCCAACAUUUCAACAUGCUCACUAAAUGCCGAGUACUGUAUUAUACCAGCUUACUCUUCGGUCCUCUAUCAAACCACCGAACAUACUGCUUCUAGUAAAUUUUAUAGACUUCCCAAUUUUCAUGGUCUUGAACCUUGGAUUCUUGAUUCACUUAUUAAUGAAAUCAAAUAUAUAUUUAAGACUCCAUUACCUCCCAACUUUCGACCAAUAAUCCUUCACCAUAGUACUUCAAUGAUAUCACCAAAGCAAUCAAUUUUAAAAAAUAACCAACGAUUUUUAGUUCCUUCCACACACAUCCAGCCAUACUGACCACCCUUCAUACCCAAACGACAAUUAAAUAAAUACAAGUACAACAUUAGAAGUUACAUUCCUACAACAUAAACUACGACGGAUCACAACAAAAACAUAUUAUAUAUAAAAUUCGCACGACAACAACACAAUAUACAUUCCAUCAUAUAAACAAUCAUAAUAAUGUCGACAUAUCUCAAAACAAAGAUCCAAACAUAUAGUCACCAUAAACAACGUAAAUAAUACCCAAGUACUAUCGAAUCCCAUAACCCGUGCGUCACAUGACCAGAGCAGACUCGCACUCCGAGAAAACCUACACUUAUCUCCAAACCUCAACAAAGACACUCCUCUUUAUUCACCAUGCCCAUCAUAGAUGAACAUAAACACAUGCAGAAGGGGUGCAGAAACAUUAUUAAAUAAUAAUAUAACACAGAAAUAUAAACAUAAAAAUUCACAUAUGCCAACACAGCUCAAUCAUAAUCAUUCAUAAAUAACAACUCAUGAACAUCAACAAAACAACAUAUCAAGCAAGCACACGCCCAUGCAUAGACUCAACACGACUCGGUAUACCCAUUUGCAGACCAACUACAGGACAGCACUCCAGAUUCAGCACCAUAAACGAGUCCCCGCAAGGAACCAGCAGCUCUCCACAAGCCCGGAGUCAACAACACUGAACCAGUCCGUCAUCACUAGCAUCGCUCUCAUAAGCAAUGCACAUCGAAACAUGCAUCAUAAUCAACAAGCAACAACACAUCAUAUAGUUCGAAGUACAUAAUAAAUAGCUCGACAACAACCACAAAACAACAACAACAUACAACGAACGACCAUCUGAUGAGUUAAAACCGAAAGCUGCUCCGUUCCAAACGAUAUGCGGAACGCCAUUAGGCUUAAUGGCGAACGCCAUACGUUAAACCCUUAUCUGGAAAAAACUGCCGGUCAAACGAUUAUGGCGAACGCCAUUAGCAAUGGGAACGCCAUAGCGUAAACCUCUUAUUCGUGGAAAAAAAGACAAAUGCGAACGCAAGGAAUGAGAACGUCAUUUGUCGUUAUGUGCAUAAAUGAAGAUUUAAGGCGGAAAAGCUAAGAGCGCGGGCUCUAAGCAAUAACUACAACAAAAUCAACAGAUCGAGAGAAUUCCAUCAAAACCCCCAAAAACUUCCAAUCUCCCUAAAAUUCCACAAAACCUCAACAAUCCAAACAUAAUCAUGAAUUGUGCUCGCAUAUUAUCUUAUAAGGUUCAGACCCCCUUACGCUUUCUGGAUUGAAGAAGUUCUGAGCAAUCUUUGCCUUUCCUCUUCCCCUUCUCCUUUCUUUCCUCAGCGUCUCCUUUCUCUGACCGGCAAAAUACUAAAAACCUGCAGCCACCUGGCCUCUUUUACCAUUCCACUUUUACUCUUCCACUGCUCAUAUCCAUAUUUAUUAUUAAUUAUAUUAAAAAUAAUAAACACUUAAUAAUAAAAUCCCAAAUAUUGAAUAAUUGCAUUUAACCUUCAAAACAAUAAAAAAUAGUAAAUAUCAACAAUAUUCUGGGGUACACAUACCCAUCGACUUGUUGACUAUAGUUACUUGUUUUAUUUACUCCCACCAUCAUUGAGCUAUAUUAACACCUUCCAUGCUUAUCGAUAGAUCUUCUUCAAAGUGUGAAAAACCACAUUCAGCCAAUGUAGAAUUACCCACACAUUCUUUCUGAUUCUAUGUGAAGGUGGUCGUUGUUGCAUUUGUGGAUAUCACCCAGUUUCAUAAAACUUCUUGCAGGUUUCAAGCAAAUCAUGUGCUCCAAACAAUGAUUUCACAUGACAACUCCACCUUUCUUAUUGUUCCAAUAAGAAUCAACAAUUGGAGAAAACCACAUUCACAUGCAUCUGGCUUAGUCAAGAAGCCAUCAUUCCUCUUACCCAAAAUUUUCCCUAAGUUUGUUCCUCAUAAAAACACUAUUUAUUUGUGAAUACAGAACCCUUUUGGGUGUGAACUGCUUGAGAUCAAUUGUUAGAGUAACACUAGUAUAUAUACUGCAAUGCAAAGACAUAAACCAAAAGUAAUGACAAAACAAAUACUUAAGCUAUAGCAGAAUAACAACACUAAUCAUAUCAAAUUAGGGAAAGUAUAAUAUAUAAGUAGUAAGCCAAUAAAAUUUAACCAAAAAAUAACUAACCAAAGAACAAUAAAUUCUAGAAUUAUACAAUAAGACCAAGACAGCUAAGUUAUAAGUUUCACUCACAAAUAUGCUGAGUAGAAAUUGUUGUAAAUCAACCAUGUGCUGAAUUAUAUAUAAUAUAUAUAUAAUAUAAAAAAUAAAAAAUAAAUAAAAUAAAGAAUAAUAUAAUUAAAAAAUAAUAUAAAUAAUAAGAAUAUAUAUAAAAAUAAAUAUAUAUAAUUCAGCACAUGGUUGAUUUACAACAAAAUUUCUAACUCACAUAUUUGUAAGUGAAAAUUUAUAACUUAAGCUCGUCUGGUUUAUAUUGUAAUAAUUCUAGGAAUUAUAUUAGUUAACUUUGAGUUAGUUAAUUUUCUUAUGGUUAAAUUUUAUUGCUUAAAACUACUUUAUAUAUAUAUACCUUUCCUAAUUGAUAUGAUAUAGUGUUUGUAUUUGUAAUAGCUUAAGUAUUUGUUUUGCAUAACUUUUGUUUAUGUUACUUGCAUUGCAAGUAUAUAUACUAGUGUUACUCUAACAAUUGGCAUCUAAAGCCAGAUUCCAACACCAAAGGGUUCAUGUUAAUUCACAAAAUAAAAUAGUGAUUUUUAUGAGGGAAAAAACUUAGGGAAAAUUGAUAUAGGAGGGAUUCGAUAGGCUUCUUGAAACAUAAGCCAGAUGAAUGUGAAUGAUGGUUUUUCCUCCAAUAUGUUGAUUCUUGAUGGAAGCAAUUAAGAAAGGUGGGGUGUCAUGAUGAAAUCAUUGUUUGGAGCACAUGAUUUGCUUGAAACCAUGCAAGAAGUUUAUGAAGAACUGGGUGCAUAUCCCACAAAUGCACAAAGAACCACCUUCAAAGAAUCAAGAAAGAAUAAGUGUGAGGCUAUAUUCUACAUUGAGCUGAAUGUGGUUUUUCACCACUUUGAGAAGAUCUUAAUCGAAUGAAGCAUGGGAGGUGUUAAAUAAGCAUCAUGAUGGUGGAGAUAAAAUAAAACAAGUAAAACUAUAGUCACUAAGUAGAUGGUAUGUGUAACACCCAGAAUAUUGUUAGAUUAAUUUAAAUAUUAUUUUAAUAUGAUUAUUUGAAGGUAAAAUGAAUUAUUAAAUAAUAUUGGGAAUUAUUAUUAUUAUAGAUGUUAUUUAUUUUAAUAAUAAUUAAAUAAAUAAAAUAAAUGGAAUAUGAAGAGUGGAAGGGUAAAAGUGGAAAUGGAUAAAAGAGGCCAAGGUGAGAACUCAGAGUGUUUUCAACGUAUUUUUGCCUCAGAGUCAGAGAAAGGGAGAAACGCUGAAGAGAAAGAGAAGGAAGAGGAAAAGGCCAAAGAUUGCUCAGAACUUCCUUCAAUCCAAAGAGGUAAGGGGUCUGAACCUUAUUAAACGAUAAUAUGCGAGCAAAUUCAUGAUAUAUGUUGGAUUGUUGAUGGAUUUUGGGGAUUUUAGGGAGAUUGGGAAAGUUUGGGGUUUUGAUGGAAAUUCUCCGAUCUGUGAGUUUUGUUGAGUUAUAUGCUUAGAAGCCCGCGCGUCCACUGUUUCCGCACUUAAAAUCUUAUUUAUGCACAUAACAGCCAAAUGACGUUCGCCAUUAUGCCUUUGGCGCUCGCCAUUUGGGUUUUUUUCCAGAAUAAGAGCGUUUAACGCUAAUGGCGUUCGCCAUUAGCCUAAUGGCGUUCGCCAUAUCAGUUUGACGGACAGUUUUUCCAGAAUAAGAGCGUUUAACGCUAAUGGCGUUCGCCAUUAGCCUAAUGGCGUUCGCCAUAUCAGUUUGACGGACAGCUUUCGCGUUUUAAACUCCCAGAUGUGAUAUCGUUGUAAUGUUGUUGUUGUUUUGUUGAGUUGUAUGUCAUGCUAUUAAUGAUGAUGAUAACAUGACUAUAUGAUGCUGUUGUUGCUAUGUUGAUUAUGAUGCAUGUUUGGUGUGCAUGCAUUCAUGAAAGGCCGAUGCCUAGUGAUGAACGGACUGAGUUCCAAUGAUGUUGUUGACUCCGGGCUUGUUGAGAGGCUUGGUUCCUUGCGGGGAACUCGGAUUCUAUGGUGAUGAAUCUGGGAGUGGUGAUCCUGUAGUUGGUCACAAAAUGGGUAUACCGAGUCGUGUUGAGUCAUGCAUGGGUGUGUGCAUUGCAUUUGAUAUGUUGUUUUGUUGAUGUUCAUGAGUAUGUUGAUUAUGAUGAUUAUGAUGAGCUGUGUUGGCAUAUGUGAAAUAUAUUUAUGUUUAUAUUUCUGUCGUUAUAUUAUUAUUUAAUAAUGUAAUUCUCACCCCUUCUGCAUGUGUUUAUGUUCAUCUAUGAUGAGCAAUGUGCAGAUAAAGAGGAGUAGCUAUUGUUGAGGUUUGAAGAAUAAGUGUAGAGUUAUUCUACAGAGUCGAGUCAAAUGCUCUGGUCAUGUGACACCGGGGUUAUGGGAUUCGAUAGAUAAUUGGUUAUUAUUUACGUUGUUUAUGAUGACUAAUAUGUUGAGAUGCUUUGUUGAGAUAAUGUUGAAACAUUAUUAUGAAUUGUUAUAUGAUGAAUGAUAAUAUUUGUGUUGUUGUCCGCUGCGAAAUUUUAAUAAAAUAAAUAAUAUGUUUUAUGUUGUGAUGCGAUAA
Molecule: long non-coding RNA, 23455 nt
Filed under: Lathyrus oleraceus (garden pea)
Lineage: Eukaryota; Viridiplantae; Streptophyta; Magnoliopsida; Fabales; Fabaceae
Description: Pisum sativum (pea) long non-coding RNA (PSAT_LNC009053)
Source: RNAcentral